CGGAGCGUAGCUCAGUUGGUAGAGUGCUGGUUUUGGGAACCAGAUGCCGGAGGUUCGAGUCCUCUCGCUCCGA
Molecule: transfer RNA, 73 nt
Filed under: Spirochaetota bacterium
Lineage: Bacteria; Pseudomonadati; Spirochaetota
Also listed under: 1 other name
Description: Spirochaetes bacterium (marine sediment metagenome) tRNA-Pro
Rfam family: tRNA
About the family: Transfer RNA (tRNA) molecules are approximately 80 nucleotides in length.
Source: RNAcentral